RNAcentral lists this ribosomal RNA (317 nucleotides) under uncultured bacterium. RNAcentral describes it as "bacterial SSU rRNA". It matches the Rfam family "Bacterial small subunit ribosomal RNA", at positions 1212 to 1528 of the family's 1533-position model. The record is from RNAcentral.
GCUUACACACACGCUACAAUGGCUGGUACAAUCGGUUGCAAACCCGCGAGGGGGAGCCAAUCCGGAAAGCCAGUCACAGUUCGGAUUGCAGGCUGCAACUCGCCUGCAUGAAGUCGGAGUUGCUAGUAACCGCAGGUCAGCCAUACCGCGGUGAAUACGUUCCCGGGCCUUGUACACACCGCCCGUCACGUCAUGGGAGCUGGUCACGCCUGAAGCCGGUGGGCUAACCGCAAGGGGGCAGCCGUCGAAGGCAGGGCUGGUGACUGGGACGAAGUCGUAACAAGGUAGCUGUAGCGGAAGCUGCGGCUGGAUCACCU